RNAcentral lists this ribosomal RNA (367 nucleotides) under uncultured organism. Its description in RNAcentral is "bacterial SSU rRNA". It matches the Rfam family "Bacterial small subunit ribosomal RNA", at positions 527 to 896 of the family's 1533-position model. The record is from RNAcentral.
CGAGGGUGCAAGCGUUAUCCGGAUUCACUGGGUUUAAAGGGUGCGUAGGUGGGCAGGUAAGUCAGUGGUGAAAUCUCCGGGCUUAACCCGGAAACUGCCAUUGAUACUAUCUGUCUUGAAUACCCUGGAGGUGAGCGGAAUAUGUCAUGUAGCGGUGAAAUGCUUAGAUAUGACAUAGAACACCCAUUGCGAAGGCAGCUCACUACGGGAAUAUUGACACUGAGGCACGAAAGCGUGGGGAUCAAACAGGAUUAGAUACCCUGGUAGUCCACGCCCUAAACUAUGGAUACUCGACAUCAGCGAUAAACUGUUGGUGUCUGAGCGAAAGCAUUAAGUAUCCCACCUGGGAAGUACGAUCGCAAGAUUG